Rhododendron vialii is the source of this 411-nucleotide long non-coding RNA. RefSeq lists it as uncharacterized. Lineage: Eukaryota; Viridiplantae; Streptophyta; Magnoliopsida; Ericales; Ericaceae. The transcript has 2 exons. The record is from RefSeq and is a predicted model, not a curated record.
UCUCUCUCUCUCUCUCUCUCUCCCUCUCUCUCUCUUAAACUCUCUUCAAACCCUCAUGCUUCAACACCAAAAAUCAAAGGUCAAGGCUCGUGAAUCUCACAAAAAGGUAAGAAGAAAACGUGAUUUACGGACAGAGGGCUACACAGCGAUUCAAACGAAAUCUCAAUCGGCCAACUUUGGUGUUCCUAGCAUUUCGGGAUUUCAACAUUUUGGAGGUUUCUCUCUCUUUUGAGGUUUCGAGAUGGAUCCGAAGGCUUAAUAAUCAUGGAUAUGUUCUAGUUCUUUUUUUUUAGAACUUAAUUGGAUACUUGUACAUAUUUGUUUGUAAAGAGGCAUGAGGCAUGUAAACUUUAAUUUUAUUUUGGGAAUGUAAAAUUGUAGAUUGAGAGAAUGGGGCCUGGAAGUGCGUAA